This 251-nucleotide ribosomal RNA is filed under the name Klebsiella pneumoniae. RNAcentral describes it as "partial 23S ribosomal RNA". It matches the Rfam family "Bacterial large subunit ribosomal RNA", at positions 1399 to 1652 of the family's 2925-position model. The record is from RNAcentral. Lineage: Bacteria; Pseudomonadati; Pseudomonadota; Gammaproteobacteria; Enterobacterales; Enterobacteriaceae.
AGGCCGAAAGGCGUAGUCGAUGGGAAACAGGUUAAUAUUCCUGUACUUGGUGUUACUGCGAAGGGGGGACGGAGAAGGCUAUGUUAGCCGGGCGACGGUUGUCCCGGUUUAAGCAUGUAGGCUGGUUAUCCAGGCAAAUCCGGAUAAUCAAGGCUGAGGUGUGAUGACGAGGCACUACGGUGCUGAAGUAACAAAUGCCCUGCUUCCAGGAAAAGCCUCUAAGCAUCAGGUAACAUCAAAUCGUACCCGAA